AAAUGAAUUGACGGGGACCCGCACAAGCAGCGGAGCAUGUGGUUUAAUUCGAAGCAACGCGAAGAACCUUACCAAGGCUUGACAUCCUCUGACAGGUGUGGAAACACACUCUUCCUUCGGGACAGAGAGACAGGUGGUGCAUGGUUGUCGUCAGCUCGUGUCGUGAGAUGUUCGGUUAAGUCCGGCAACGAGCGCAACCCCUAUAAACAGUUGCCAAUAUUAAGUUAGGGACUCUGUUUAGACUGCCGUGGGUCAACACGGAGGAAGGUGGGGAUGACGUCAAAUCAUCAUGCCCCUUACGCCUUGGGCUACACACGUGCUACAAUGGGCGCUACAAAGAGCAGCAAGCCGGUAACGGUAAGCGAAUCUCAUAAAGGCGCUCUCAGUUCAGAUUGUGGGCUGCAACCCGCCCACAUGAAGAAGGAGUUGCUAGUAAUCCCGAAUCAGAAUGUCGGGGUGAAUGCGUUCCCGGGUCUUGUACACACCGCCCGU
Molecule: ribosomal RNA, 492 nt
Filed under: uncultured bacterium
Lineage: Bacteria
Description: bacterial SSU rRNA
Rfam family: Bacterial small subunit ribosomal RNA
Source: RNAcentral